UUACCUACGGGAGGCAGCAGUAGGGAAUCUUCCACAAUGGGCGAAAGCCUGAUGGAGCAACGCCGCGUGGGUGAAGAAGGUCUUCGGAUCGUAAAACCCUGUUGUUAGAGAAGAAAGUGCGUGAGAGUAACUGUUCACGUUUCGACGGUAUCUUACGAGGAAGCCACGGCUAACUACGUGCCAGCAGCCGCGGUAAUACGUAGGUGGCGAGCGUUAUCCGGAAUGAUUGGGCGUAAAGGGUGCGCAGGCGGUUGUAUAAGUCUGAAGUAAAA
RNAcentral lists this ribosomal RNA (272 nucleotides) under uncultured bacterium. RNAcentral's name for it is "partial 16S ribosomal RNA". It matches the Rfam family "Bacterial small subunit ribosomal RNA", at positions 335 to 599 of the family's 1533-position model. The record is from RNAcentral.